CAGCGAAUUACUUUCAGUAGCGAGGUUAACCGUGUAGGGGAGCCGUAGGGAAACCGAGUCUUAAUAGGGCGUUUAGUUGCUGGGAGUAGACCCGAAACCGGGCGAUCUAGCCAUGAGCAGGUUGAAGGUGCCGUAACAGGCACUGGAGGACCGAACCCACCGUCGUUGAAAAGCCGGGGGAUGACUUGUGGCUAGGGGUGAAAGGCUAAUCAAGCUCGGUGAUAGCUGGUUCUCCCCGAAAGCUAUUUAGGUAGCGCCUCGGACGAAUACCACUGGGGGUAGAGCACUGUUUCGGCUAGCGGGUCAUCCCGACUUAGCAACCCGAUGCAAACUCCGAAUACCAGUGAGUACUAUCCGGGAGACAGACGGCGGGUGCUAAUGUCCGUCGUCAAGAGGGAAACAACCCAGACCGCCAGCUAAGGUCCCCAAAAUCACAGUUAAGUGGGAAACGAUGUGGGAAGGCAUAGACAGCUAGGAGGUUGGCUUAGAAGCAGCCACCCUUUAAAGAAAGCGUAAUAGCUCACUAGUCGAGUCGGCCUGCGCGGAAGAUGUAACGGGGCU
This 561-nucleotide ribosomal RNA is filed under the name uncultured bacterium. Its description in RNAcentral is "bacterial LSU rRNA". It matches the Rfam family "Bacterial large subunit ribosomal RNA", at positions 621 to 1182 of the family's 2925-position model. The record is from RNAcentral.